ACACAGACCGGCAGACAAGAUAACAAGCAGUGUCCGCGGUAAAUGUGCUCAAGUUCAUAGUUACACAAAACAACAUCUGCAUUCCAAGGAAACAGACCUUAAAAUCUUCAGGAGGAAAGGAGGGAGACAGAGAGACAGAGAGACAGAGGCAGAGAGACAGAGACAGAGACAAACAGAGACAGAGAGACACAGAGACAGAGACACAGAGACAGAGACAGAGAGACAGAGACAGAGACACAGAGACAGAGACACAGAGAGACAUGGAGACAGAGACAGACAGAGGGACACAGAGACAGAGACAGAGAGACACACAGAGAAAGACAGAGAGAUGGAGAGACACAGAAACACAUAGAGAGAAACACAAAGAGAGACAAAGAGGCAGAGAGAGGGCAAGAGACAGAGGGACACAGAGACACAGAGGCAGAGAGGCAGAGAGACAGAGACAGAGGCAGAGAGAGAGACAGAGACAGAGAGACAAGAGACAUAAAGACAGACACAGAGGCACAGAGGCAGAGAGGCAGAGGCAGAGACAGAGAAGCAGAGAGACAAAGGCACAGAGGCAGAGAGACACAGACAGAGGCAGAGACAGAGAAGCAGAGAGACAAAGACACAGAGGCAGAGAGACACGGACAGAAGCAGAGAGAAAGAGACAGAGGCUCAG
Molecule: long non-coding RNA, 661 nt
Filed under: Homo sapiens (human)
Lineage: Eukaryota; Metazoa; Chordata; Mammalia; Primates; Hominidae
Description: HSALNT0361002
Source: RNAcentral